RNAcentral lists this ribosomal RNA (450 nucleotides) under uncultured bacterium. RNAcentral describes it as "bacterial SSU rRNA". It matches the Rfam family "Bacterial small subunit ribosomal RNA", at positions 8 to 492 of the family's 1533-position model. The record is from RNAcentral.
AGAGUUUGAUCCUGGCUCAGAACGAACGCUGGCGGCAUGCCUAACACAUGCAAGUCGAACGGAAAUGCUUAGCUUGCUUUGCAUUUUAGUGGCGGACGGGUGAGUAACGCGUGGGGACCUGCCCUGGAGUGGGGAACAACGACGGGAAACUGUCGCUAAUACCGCAUACGCCCUGAGGGGGAAAGGCUUCGGCCGCUCUAGGAUGGACCCGCGUCGGAUUAGCUAGUUGGUGGGGUAACGGCCUACCAAGGCGACGAUCCGUAGCUGGUCUGAGAGGAUGAUCAGCCACACUGGGACUGAGACACGGCCCAGACUCCUACGGGAGGCAGCAGUGGGGAAUAUUGGACAAUGGGGGAAACCCUGAUCCAGCAAUGCCGCGUGUGUGAAGAAGGCCUUAGGGUUGUAAAGCACUUUCACCCGCGAAGAUGAUGACGUAGCGGAGAAGAAGCC